This 318-nucleotide long non-coding RNA is filed under the name Prunus dulcis (almond). RNAcentral's name for it is "sRNA ncRNA". The record is from RNAcentral. Lineage: Eukaryota; Viridiplantae; Streptophyta; Magnoliopsida; Rosales; Rosaceae.
GCAAACAAUAGGAUGGUCAAGUGCAAAACUUUGUUCAAGUACAUCAACUGCACACAAUAGGAUCGAUGGUCAAAUGUGCACACACUGAUGCCCUUUUCCAGCACUGCAUUACAUUAGCUGUUGAACAACUUUCACAUAGAAUAGUGCCAAUCUGCACACAGAUCAUUAACUUAAUGACAAAUUAUGCCACCAGAUACAGUCCAGAGUAACAAAAGCUAGCUCCAAUUAUGCCACCGGUAAGAAUAAGAAAGGCUCCAAAAUGCUCAUUUGAAAACAAAAACUACAUGCAUACAAUUUAUGUUCCAUGUGCUACCACAA